Molecule: long non-coding RNA, 4127 nt
Filed under: Pan troglodytes (chimpanzee)
Lineage: Eukaryota; Metazoa; Chordata; Mammalia; Primates; Hominidae
Description: long non-coding RNA NONPTRT015966
Source: RNAcentral
CUGAAAUAGAAAAAAGCCUAGGUGUCAAUAUUCUAAAGACUGACCUUUGCAUUUUCCUGACAUGUUGAUGAAGUAUUCAUUCUGCCGCUUCCAUUUAGUAGUAAUUUAUCUCCCAUCCCAAAGUUCCUGAGUACAAAGACUAUAUACGAACUAAAUUUCAUUUGGAAAACUACAAACUCAAAGGUGAGCUGAUAAAAAGAAACAUAUAUUUAUUUUUGCAAUUAUUUUCUAUUUUAUCUAAUUGUCAAAUUCUUUAAUACCUCCAUAAACUAGACAGUAUAGAUCCUUUCUAAUUAACAUCACCUAUUAAAACUGAACUCUCAGUAAGUUAAGAGAAUAUUUUUACUAGCAACUCAAAUGAAUAUUCUGAAGAGAAAAGAAUUGUUCACUGCAUAAAUCACAAUAGCAAAGAAAGGAAAAAUGGCUUACAAAACAGGAAAGGUACUGCCUUAUUAACCUGGGAAAUCCAUUUCAUAUCUAACCCAUCUACUUUUUAUUCUCUUUUGAAAAGGAUAUGAUUCAUAGUCCAGCGUUUGAGUGAGCACUCCAGUCAGAACGAACUCUGCAUUGUGAACAUCUGAACAGGGUGGAAACAGACACUUGUUAGAGAUCCACUGCUGUGCGUGCACACAUACUCACACAGGUAAGCGGGGAAACGUACCUAUGCCUCUGGCAAAAUAUUCUCGGCAUAAAUGAAGGUCAUUUUCACAGGAUAUUAAAAUUAUUUCCGACAAACUCUAAGGAAAAGAAAAUGAGUUUCUCAGUGACCGAACACUGAAUGUGAUACAGGGCAAUGACGGACUCGCUGGCGGACUCCACUCUACCCACCGAGUUCUGCUUGUGCUCCAUGAGCUUCCGGAAAGAUGGCUGCUUGGAUAACACCUUUCCUCCUGCACACUCUACAAUUGCCUUCAUAGUGGAAAGACUUGGGCAGAUUCCAGGAGGAAGACCUCCAGUGGCAAUGUCCAAGAAGGAAGCCAAGAGGUAAAUGGGAUGCAGGGUGAGCCCAGCUCCCCUGGAGGCGCACUUCCCACCAAAUCACCUGGUAGUUCCCUUGAGCAGGUCCAUGUGUUAUGCUUACUUGGACUGAUUUACUUUUCCCUUAAAGUGUACCUUAAAGAGUGGAGAAACGUGUGCCCGUUUUAAGGAUUCUUCCAAGCUGAAAGAGAAAAGUACUUCUGCCUCAGCAUCUCGGAGAAUGUAGUUCUGCUCAUCUGGAAAACAGAACAGCACAUACUCUGAAAAGUGUGGACACGUGAAGUGUGGCAAGUGUGACCCACAAAAUUCUCGUCCAUAUUCAGCGUAUGGACCAGUUUGCUGACUGCUGGGCAGGAGCAACCACAUCAUGACAGAAAUGCAGGGAUCUGUUCACCAACGGCCAGAAAUACAAAAUCAAUCCCUGAGUCAACCAGCAGAUAGAAAGGCUGCUUUUUAGGUGAAAGGAGAAAAAGAAUGUCUAAAAUUUGGAAAAACAAAACAUGAUGAAUUAAAAAAGGAACAAAAAAAGUACUGUUACACAUGAGAUGGUAUAUUUGAAGUGUUACUUUCAAAGCUGAUAUGCCUUCUGAAGAACUUGUGUGAGAUCACCAAGAAUAGUUAAUGUUUAUGACAGAGAAAACACCACCGGGCGCGGUGGCUCACGCCUAUAAUCCCAGCACUUUGGGAGGCCGAGGUGGGCGGAUCUCUUGAGGUCAGGAGUUCAAGACCAGCCUGGCCAACAUGGUGAAACCCUGUCUCUACUAAAAGAUACAAAAAAAUUUAGCCAGGCGUCGUCGUGGUGGGCGCCUGCAGUCCCAGCUACUAGGGAGGCUGAGGCAGGAGAAUGGCUUGAACCCAGGAGGCAGAGGUUGUAGUAAGCCAAUGGCACCACUCUACUCCAGCCUGAGCAACAGACUGGGUGAGACUCUGUCUUAAAAAGAAAAGAAAGUAAUAUUGAAAAAUACAGUAAUACAGCUAAGACGAUCCUGUCACAGAUGAGACAUUGAGAUUUUGGUUUUUUCAAACAGGGUUAUGUUAACUUAGUAGUAGCAAUGUAAAGACUCAACCUGAACAUUAAACUUUUCAUGGAAGUACAAAAGAAAUGAGUAUCCUAGAAAUUGAUUAUAAUAUUGAUGUCUCAAAUUUUAUGUAAGUUACACAUAAAUAUAAAAUCCCAAAAACAUGCACCUACCAACACAGGUGGAGAAAAGAGUGUUUUCAACAAAUGAUGCUGGAACAACUGCACAUCCAUAUGCAAUAAAAGGAAGCUGGACACAGACUUUACCCUCUUUUAAAAAAAACCGACCCAAAAAUGGAACACAGACCUAAAUGUAAAAUGCAAAACUAUGAAACUCCUAGAAGAUAACACAGGAGAGAAUCUAAGGGACCUUGAGUUUGGCAAUGACUUUUUAGAUACAACACCAAAGACACAAUCCAUGAAAGAAAUAAGAAGUAACCUGGACCUCACCUAUUAGAAUGGCCAAAACCCAGAGCACUAACACCAGCAUAUGCUGAGGAGGAUGUGGAGCAACAGGAGCUCCCAUUCACUGCAGGUGGGAAUGCAAAAUGGCACAGGCACUUCAGAAGACAGCCCGGCGGUUUCGUACAAGCUAAACAUACUCUUACCAUAUGAUCAAGCAAUUGCAACCUUGUUGAUUUACCAAAAGGAGUUGAAAACUUAUGGCCACACUAAAACCUGUACAUGGAUGUUUUAGCAGCUUUACUGAUAACUGCGAAAAUUUAGAAUCAGCUAAGAUGUCCUUGUGUAGGUGAGGGGCUGAACAGAUACAUUCUGACAAUGGAAUAUUAUUUAGUGCUAAAAAGAAAUGCUUUAUGAAGCCAUGAAAAGACAUGGAGGAAGCUGGGACGUAUAUUGCCAAGCAAAGAAAGCAAAUCUGAAAAUCCUAUAUACUGUAUGAUUCCCAAUAUGUAACAUUCUGGAAAGGGCAAGACUAUAGAAAGAAUAAAAGAUCAGUGGUUGCCAGGGUCAGCAGGCAGGAAGGAAUGAGUGGGUGGAGCACAGAGGAUUUUCAGGGCAGUGGAACAACUCCAUAUGACGCUGUAAAGCAAAAUCAUGUCCUUACACAUUUGUUAAAACCCAAUGACUGUUCAAGGCCAAGAGUGAGCCCUAAUGUAACUAUGGACUUUGGGUGACUGGCCAAGAGUGAGCCCUAAUGUAACUAUGGACUCUGGGUGACUAGCCAAGAGUGAGCCCUAAUGUAACUAUGGACUUCAGGUGACUGGCCAACAGGGAGCCCUAAUGUAACUAUGGACUUUGGGUGACUGGCCAAGAGUAAGCCCUAAUGUAACUAUGGACUUUGGGUGACUAUGACCCAAAUGUCAAUGUAGCUUCAUUAACAGUUAAUAAACAUUUCACUUUGGUGUGGGAUGGUGACUGUAGUGGGGGUGGCGGUGUGUGUGCAUGGGUAUGGGCUGGGGUAUAUGGGAACUCACUGUACUUUCUGUAAUUUUGCUGUGAACUUAAAACUGCCCUAAAAAUUGUCUAUUUUUAAAAAAACAAUAAUUAUAAACUGGAAAAAUUCUCUUAGGAAAUCCUAAAAUAUGGAAGAUAAAAUAUGAAAUGUUUUCUCAAUAUUAAAUGUUUAUAACAACCACUUUCUAACCCUCAGAGAGCAACACAGCAAAUACUUAUUAACAGUGCCAUAAAGAAAUAAAAGCUAGUUAACCAAAACUUCCCAUCAAAUAGGAACUGUAAACUUUAUAUACAGAUAAAACAACCACAUUUUCACAAACUGAAACUUGAAAAAUUAAGUAAAUUGUCAUUCACUAAAUUGGCUGCUUGGCAAACUAAUUUUCAAAGAAUUAGCAUGUUCUUGGUUGGAAAAGAAAAAGAAUAAGCAAAGUCAGAAAGUAACAAAAAAGAUCUCUAAAGCUGGGUGUUGCCCAAAAGCAGCCGAUGGAGCCAACCAGAGGCUGGAACAUUACAGACCCGCUUUCCCCACCACCCAAGCUGGUGUAUGCCAUGCUCCCACAGCAGAAGCUAAAAAAGUACACUUACUAUUUCUAUUAACGAAUAGACUAUCUCCUUCUAAACUGUAUAACAUUAUAUGAAAUUGGAAGCUAAAAUGUUUGUAGUAAUUGUUUCUACUAUGUUCUUCUUCUGCCUUCAUUGUUAAGUUUCAUGUUUC